RNAcentral lists this ribosomal RNA (253 nucleotides) under uncultured bacterium. RNAcentral describes it as "partial 16S ribosomal RNA". It matches the Rfam family "Bacterial small subunit ribosomal RNA", at positions 524 to 776 of the family's 1533-position model. The record is from RNAcentral.
UACGUAGGGUGCAAGCGUUAAUCGGAAUUACUGGGCGUAAAGCGUGCGCAGGCGGCUUUGCAAGACAGAUGUGAAAUCCCCGGGCUUAACCUGGGAACUGCAUUUGUGACUGCAUGGCUGGAGUGCGGCAGAGGGGGAUGGAAUUCCGCGUGUAGCAGUGAAAUGCGUAGAUAUGCGGAGGAACACCGAUGGUGAAGGCAAUCCCCUGGGCCUGCACUGACGCUCAUGCACGAAAGCGUGGGGAGCAAACAGG